GAACAGGAAAGAAAGUCUACACUUGUGCAACCCUUAUGGCCCCAAAGAUACUUUGAUAUGGAAUGAAGAUGUUAUGCCAGUAAGUUUUGGUGUCGACUCCUCUUAUGAAUCAGAAGCAGUGGCAAACACAGUGUGCUGUGCCUCUAUUGAGUACGUACCAUCCCUGUUCCUUGCAGCUAGAUGGAGAACAGCAGUUCAGCUUUUUGCCUCAUGGAUGGACAAAGAAAGCCUUGUUCUUGGUCAUGCUGAUGUUUCUUUUCCACUUGGCACUGGCUUUCCAAAACACAUCACAUGCUGCGGGCAGCCAGCCAGCCUACCUGUCUGAGAAAAACAGACCUGAGUCUCCCUGCCCCACCCUGACCUCUUGGGAUGAUAACCCGCUGGCAAGAAACAUCAGCAAUAACUGUUUGGAAAACAGAUGCCUGACAACUUCUCCAUGCAACUGACUAUCCCUGCUGCCUCUCAUCCCAACAUGGCCCUCAGUGGCCAUCAAGAUGCUCCCCUUGCUCAUGACCCACUGCAGUGUCCUUUCAUACUUCUGGAAAACUGGUG
RNAcentral lists this long non-coding RNA (552 nucleotides) under Gallus gallus (chicken). Its description in RNAcentral is "lncRNA (ENSGALG00010020172.1)". Lineage: Eukaryota; Metazoa; Chordata; Aves; Galliformes; Phasianidae. The record is from RNAcentral.